AACGAACGCUGGCGGCAUGCCUAACACAUGCAAGUCGAACGAGACCUUCGGGUCUAGUGGCGCACGGGUGCGUAACGCGUGGGAACCUGCCCUUAGGUUCGGAAUAACUCCCCGAAAGGGGUGCUAAUACCGGAUAAUGUCUUCGGACCAAAGAUUUAUCGCCUUUGGAUGGGCCCGCGUUGGAUUAGCUAGUUGGUAGUGUAAAAGCCUACCAAGGCGACGAUCCAUAGCUGGUCUGAGAGGAUGAUCAGCCACACUGGGACUGAGACACGGCCCAGACUCCUACGGGAGGCAGCAGUGGGGAAUAUUGGACAAGGGGCGAAAGCCUGAUCCAGCAAUGCCGCGUGAGUGAUGAAGGCCUUAGGGUUGUAAAGCUCUUUUACCCGGGAUGAUAAUGACAGUACCGGGAGAAUAAGCUCCGGCUAACUCCGUG
RNAcentral lists this ribosomal RNA (433 nucleotides) under uncultured bacterium. RNAcentral describes it as "partial 16S ribosomal RNA". It matches the Rfam family "Bacterial small subunit ribosomal RNA", at positions 29 to 507 of the family's 1533-position model. The record is from RNAcentral.